This 292-nucleotide ribosomal RNA is filed under the name uncultured bacterium. Its description in RNAcentral is "partial 16S ribosomal RNA". The record is from RNAcentral. RNAcentral also lists the same sequence under 1 other name.
GGACUACCCGGGUUUCUAAUCCUGUUUGCUCCCCACGCUUUCGUGCCUGAGCGUCAAUCUUGGCCCAGGGGGCUGCCUUCGCCAUCGGUGUUCCGCCACAUCUCUACGCAUUUCACUGCUACACGUGGCAUUCCACCCCCCUCUGCCAGAUUCAAGUCCCAUAGUUUCCACUGCCAUUCCCAGGUUGAGCCCGGGGCUUUCACAGCGGACUUGCGAAACCGCCUACGCACGCUUUACGCCCAGUAAUUCCGAUUAACGCUCGCACCCUACGUAUUACCGCGGCGGCUGGCAC